Molecule: ribosomal RNA, 726 nt
Filed under: Triticum aestivum (bread wheat)
Lineage: Eukaryota; Viridiplantae; Streptophyta; Magnoliopsida; Poales; Poaceae
Description: partial small subunit ribosomal RNA
Source: RNAcentral
AUGGCCGCCGCCACACUCCGCUCCGCCCUCCUCUCCUCCUGCGCCCUCCGCCGGCUCGCCUCCGCCUCCGCGCCGCGCGCCCCCCGCCUCACCCAGCCCAAGGUGCAGGGGUUCGCCCGGGCUCGCCGGUCCUACCCGGCCGCGUUCGCCGCCUCCGCCAUGUCGACGUCGUCGGGGGCCAAGGAGGCGCCGGCCAACAACCCGGGCCUGCAGGCCGAGGUCGACCCCGCCACCAAGGGCUACUUCAUGCAGCAGGCACUUGAAAAGCUCAUAAAUGCUAAUUCAACUGAGGUUGAUUGGGAACGUUCCUUCUAUUUGAAUUUAGUCGCUCACACGUCAUAUACUGUCACAGUGGCAUUGUGCAGUAUCAGCAAUCUUUGCAAUCGUGCAGACAAAAGCAAGCGGUUGCCUCCAAUUUACAAGGUUUCAAAAACUGUAUAUGCAUCCCCUAGCCGUGUAAAUUUCCGCCUUGAUCAAAGAAAGGCUGUAGAGACAGUACCUGCAUAUCCGAACAUUUAUUUCUCAGUUGAUGACAUCGAUGAUCCUUUUGAUGCUGUGGUUUUGUCAGACCCAGAACACUGCUAUUGUGUGAUUCUCAAUGCGCAUGAUGGGGCAGCAUUUCCUGAAGAAAGCGAAUCAAGCAAUGUCGGUUCAAAUAUACAAUCUGGGAUCAACUCUGGGAGCAGUGGAGAGAACCCACCAAAGGUUCACUCUCUUCCUAAAUGA